Molecule: unclassified non-coding RNA, 148 nt
Organism: Pongo abelii (Sumatran orangutan)
Lineage: Eukaryota; Metazoa; Chordata; Mammalia; Primates; Hominidae
Rfam family: Metazoan signal recognition particle RNA
About the family: The signal recognition particle (SRP) is a universally conserved ribonucleoprotein. It is involved in the co-translational targeting of proteins to membranes. The eukaryotic SRP consists of a 300-nucleotide 7S RNA and six proteins: SRPs 72, 68, 54, 19, 14, and 9.
Source: Ensembl
GCCGGGCGUGGUGACGCAUGCCUGUAGUCCCAACUACUCAGGAGGCUGGGGCAGGAGAAUCACUUGAACCCAGGAGGCGGAGGUUGCAGUGAGCAGAGAUCAUGCCACUGCACUCCAGCCUGGGUGACAGAGUGAGACCCCAUCUCUA